AUGCUGUGGAAGGCAAGAGAAAGAACAUCUCCCCUCUUCCUGAACCACAGAGGACCUGAGAUCCACCAGUUGGGAGGAACAACAGGCCACUCGUCCUCAUAUUCAGUCACUGCCUAUCAGAUUCAAUGUGCCCUUGCACCACCAAUGACCUGGCUCCACCCAUGGAAUGGAGAUACUUCUCUGCGCAUUGACUUCAGGCUUGGCCAUGACCAGCUUUGGUCCAAGGAAGGUGACUGCCACACGGAGGGGACUGCACAGGUGCUGAGCAGGAGAGUCGAGGGGAAGGAACUCAGCAGUGAGAAGCCAUGCCCCCCCAAACUGGCAGUGAGCUGUCUCUCCCUCAGCUGCCCAAUCCAUAAAUAGGAUACGGCCACCAAGGCGUCUUUAAAGGCCUGUUAACAUUCAAUGAAAUAAGAGCUAUGAAAGCACUUGGGAUCAGCAAGAAUGCUACAGCUAUAAUAGCACUGCUUUGAGCGAACAGCAAUCUUUAGAAAAUGAUUGGCAUCAGGUUAUCCUACAGUAAGCCUAGAAAAUGUAUUCUAAAGCCCAUCCACCUGGAGAUGCUUAACAGCAGAAUAGUAUAUAAGCCUUUAUCCCAGGAUAGGUUGAAGAGAGCCUGCCCUUUGGUAAGUUCUCAUCAGCCCUUCUCACCCUUUGUCCUUUCAUGCGGGUAUGGAUUUGAUUACAGUGAAUCUAAAGAAGUCCCCGUAGGAAUCACUGUGUCACCUUCGAGGGCCAACUAGGAGGCCAGCUGCACAGUUCCCUACCUGGGGGAAUGAGGCAAAAUCUAUCUCGACUUUGGACCCCAUCCACAGUGUGAUCUCACAGAAAGGAUUCUAGGGUUUUCUCUGUUACAGUGUGACUGACCGAUUUUCAAUUUUUAUUAAAAUUCUUGUUCACACCCUAAAUCCUUUUAAUCCCAACCAAAUGUUUGAGACCCUGGAUGAAAACAUCAGCCUUUCAUUACAUGACAGCCAGAGAAUAGUCCCUGUGGCUAUUCUUGAUAAUGCCAAGUUUAGUUUCUUGGGUUUUCUGUAUAGAAGUGUCUAAUACAAAGAUAGCAAAAUCCUGCACCGAUACUGUGUUAUCGACUACGGGGGUUCUGAGGUGGUAUCUGCAUGCACUCCAUGAAUUGCUUCUAGGGAGACAAAAAGGACCAGAAAUAGAUUCACUAUUUCACCAUCGAGCAGCAUUCCUAGGAAGCAGAGUGAGGAAAAGGUCCACCGGGUCUGGUCCUGAAAGGGCUGCAUCUGAGGGGACAGCACAGUCCCACAGAUGUCGAGGUUCAAGCCCUGUCACGGGCAGCGCUACACACAGCAGUAAACAUAAUCAGUGGAGCGUCUGAGAGCUGACUCCCUGAGACCCACUGCACCCCCUCGCCAUCAUCACCACCUCACUGUCAGCUCCCUGCCACCCACUGGCCGGGACAGAGCCGGCGGACAGCUUGGACCAGGCUUUGUUGAAAAGGCUGAACUGAGAUUCUUCCCACUUCUUUGGCCUCGCGCCUGGGCAAAUGAAUAAGCUGCCUGUGUCACUAACAUAUUCCAGGUCAUGCACACACACAAACAUUAUUAUAUCUUGGAAUUACUUUUAAAUUGCUGUCUUUUGGGUUUUAACCAUUUUCCUAGAAAGGCAGCUCAGCAAAUCCUUGCGUGGAGCAAGGAUGGCACCCAGUGGCCAAAGUGUUUCAUCUCAGAUCUUGUUUUCUUGAAGAUUUUUCUGUAGGCUUUUCACUUUGGGAACAAUGAAAGCCACAGGAUCUUUAUUCUAGAGCCAGAGUUGAAGCUCCAAAUCACCUGACUAUCUGUUUUAAGCUGAAGUGCACUCAAACACACACACACACACACACACAAGUUGGGGCAGUAUUCAGAGAUUAAUUCAGAAUAACUGCUAAAAAGCCUCAAAGUUUUACCAUCAAUGUCUUGGGUUAAAGUCAUCACAGUGCACAUAUGCAGAUCACCGCCCGUGAUGUCCCUCAUGUCAUACAUCACCCUAGGAAAUACCAUACAAACAUCAGCCCAGCCUCACAUUCUUUACUUCAUAUCUUCCCCAAAUAGUCUCUAGCUCAUGAGUUCUCAUGCCUUAAACAUAAGACUUUAUCUCCUGACAAGUGCUUUAUCAUUAAACUGAUGUUUGCAAUCUCAUAUCCCUGUUAUCUUUCUUAUAAGGUACUUGGCAGGCCUGGAGAGCACAGGAUAAUAAAGUGGCUCUGCUCUUUUUUCCUUUGAGCUUUCCAGAUGUCGAGAGAUUUCUAUACAGCUAGAUAACCAAUCAGGCUGUAAAGAAGACAAGCAAGAUGUCAGAAUAAUGGAUCAUACACCCUCUUGCUGAAAUGAUGCAAUAUCUUCAUAACGUUUGCUAUUUCCAAUUUCCUUAGGUUUCUAAGCAGUGUGAAACCCUAGGGCAAGAAGUCACGUGGAUGGCACAACCACAAUACAAAGAGACGCUUCUAAUAAAGUAGUUAAUAACAAAAUAUAUUGAUUGCCCAAAGAAUACCAUGACAAGUCUCUUCUUUUUAAAUGCCUAAAUUCAGCCAAAAAAAUUCUUUUUCCUCAGACAUCAUCCCCCAUUCAUGCUUGUUUGGUACCCAGGCUGUUGAAAUGCCCCAAAAGUUCCAAGAUAAAAGUUAAAUCAAGAGAAGUGACUUCAACAUAAAAUUCCAUGAUAUUGUUUACAUUUUCCUAUUCAGCUACUUAAAAAGAAGACCUGUCUUCCAAACCAAAACAAAACACUGGAGGGAAAAAAUUAAAGCCAAGAACGUGCAUUGCUCUCUCUGGUGCUUUGGUGCUUGUUGUCUCACAUGUAAAAUGCAGCUGUAAUAAAGCAGCCCUCACCAAGAGCUUAUGAGACUCAGAUGAGAGAAAAGGUUUUUCUACACUGCUGAGUCAUUACUUAAGAUAUUACUAAACAUUUAGAGGUGGC
This 2922-nucleotide long non-coding RNA is filed under the name Capra hircus (goat). RNAcentral's name for it is "lncRNA (ENSCHIG00000000753.1)". The record is from RNAcentral. Lineage: Eukaryota; Metazoa; Chordata; Mammalia; Artiodactyla; Bovidae.